Molecule: ribosomal RNA, 497 nt
Filed under: uncultured bacterium
Lineage: Bacteria
Description: partial 16S ribosomal RNA
Rfam family: Bacterial small subunit ribosomal RNA
Source: RNAcentral
GAUGAACGCUGGCGGCGUGCCUAAUACAUGCCAGUCGAGCGAACAGACGCGGCGCUUGCUCCUCUGACGUUAGCGGCGGACGGGUGAGUAACACGUGGAUAACCUACCUAUAAGACUUGGAUAACUUCGGGAAACCGGAGCUAAUACCGGAUAACAUAUUGAACCGCAUGGUUCAAUAGUGAAAGCCGGUUUUGCUGUCACUUAUAGAUGUAUCCGCGCUGCAUUGGCUAGUUGGUAAGGUAACGGCUUACCAAGGCCACGAUGCGUAGCCGACCUGAGAGGGGGUACGGCCACGCUGGAACUGGACGACGGUCCAGACUCCUAGGGGAGGCAGCAGUAGGGAAUCGUCCGCAAUGGGCGAAAGCCUGACGGAGCAGCGCCGCGUGAGUGAUGAAGGUCUUCGGAUCGUAAAACUCUGUUAUUAGGGAAGAACAAAUGUGUAAGUAACGAUGCACGUCUUGACGGUACCUAAUCAGAAAGCCACGGCUAACUACGUG